CCCCUAGAUGUUCUGGGCCGCACGCGCGCUACACUGAACAGUUCAACAAGUCUUAACCUUGGCCGAUAGGUCUGGGUAAUCUUUGAACGCUGUUCGUGAUUGGGAUAGACCUUUGCAAUUAUGGGUCUUCAACGAGGAAUUCCUAGUAAACGCAAGUCAUCAGCUUGCAUUGAUUACGUCCCUACCCUUUGUACACACCGCCCGUCGCACCUACCGAUUGAAUGGUCCGGUGAAGCCUCGGGAUUGCGAAUGCUUCGUGCGGACGCGAGAACUUGGCUAAACCUUACCAUUUAGAGGAAGGUGAAGUCGUAACA
This 314-nucleotide ribosomal RNA is filed under the name uncultured eukaryote. Its description in RNAcentral is "partial 18S ribosomal RNA". It matches the Rfam family "Eukaryotic small subunit ribosomal RNA", at positions 1470 to 1796 of the family's 1831-position model. The record is from RNAcentral.